UUGGAGGGCAAGUCUGGUGCCAGCAGCCGCGGUAAUUCCAGCUCCAAUAGCGUAUAUUAAAGUUGUUGCAGUUAAAAAGCUCGUAGUUGAAUUUCGGGAUCAAUGCGUCGGUCGUGCCUUCGGUACGUACUAGCGUCAUUGAUUCCUCCCUUCUGAAGAACCGUGAUGUCAUUAAUUUGGUGUUACGGGGAAUCAGGACUGUUACCUUGAAAAAAUUAGAGUGUUUAAAGCAGGCUAACGCUUGAAUACAUUAGCAUGGAAUAAUGAAAUAGGACGUUCGAACCUAUUUUGUUGGUUUCUAGGAUCGGCGUAAUGAUUAAUAGGGAUAGUUGGGGGCAUUAGUAUUCAAUUGUCAGAGGUGAAAUUCUUGGAUUUAUUGAAGACUAACUACUGCGAAAGCAUUUGCCAAGGAUGUUUUCAUUAAUCAAGAACGAAAGUUAGGGGAUCGAAGACGAUCAGAUACCGUCGUAGUCUUAACCAUAAACUAUGCCGACUAGGGAUCGGAUGAUGUUAAUUUUUUAAUGACUCAUUCGGCACCUUACGGGAAAC
Molecule: ribosomal RNA, 549 nt
Filed under: uncultured Glomus
Lineage: Eukaryota; Fungi; Glomeromycota; Glomeromycetes; Glomerales; Glomeraceae
Description: SSU rRNA
Rfam family: Eukaryotic small subunit ribosomal RNA
Source: RNAcentral